AUGCAAGUCGAGCGAUCGAGCCGGACCAGACACCCUUCGGGGUGGGCGGAUCGGUCACGGAGCGGCGGACUGGUGAGUAACGCGUAGCUAACCUGCCCUCUUGAUGGGGACAACCACUCGAAAGGGUGGCUAAUACCCAAUGUUGCUCGAGGUCGAUGGACCUUUAGCCAAAGGCGGUUCACGCCGUCGCAAGGGGAGGGAGCUGCGUCCUAUUAGCUUGUUGGUGGGGUAAUGGCCUACCAAGGCGAUGAUGGGUAGCUGGUCUGAGAGGAUGGCCAGCCACAUUGGGACUGAAAUACGGCCCAGACUCCUAUGGGAGGCAGCAGUGGGGAAUCUUUCGCAAUGGGCGAAAGCCUGACGGAGCGACACCGCGUGGGGGAUGAAGGUCUUCGGGUUGUAACCCCUUUUCUGAGGGAAGAAUAAAGGCGGGAGGAAAUGCCCACCCGAUGACGGUACCUCAGGAAUAAGCAUCGGCUAACUUCGUGCCAGCAGCCGCGGUAAU
Molecule: ribosomal RNA, 502 nt
Filed under: uncultured bacterium
Lineage: Bacteria
Description: bacterial SSU rRNA
Rfam family: Bacterial small subunit ribosomal RNA
Source: RNAcentral